This 245-nucleotide ribosomal RNA is filed under the name uncultured bacterium. RNAcentral's name for it is "partial 16S ribosomal RNA". It matches the Rfam family "Bacterial small subunit ribosomal RNA", at positions 524 to 768 of the family's 1533-position model. The record is from RNAcentral.
UACGGAGGGUGCAAGCGUUAUCCGGAUUCACUGGGUUUAAAGGGUGCGUAGGUGGGUUGGUAAGUCAGUGGUGAAAUCUCCAGGCUCAACUUGGAAACUGCCAUUGAUACUAUCAAUCUUGAAUACCGUGGAGGUCAGCGGAAUAUGUCAUGUAGCGGUGAAAUGCUUAGAUAUGACAUAGAACACCAAUUGCGAAGGCAGCUGGCUACACGAAUAUUGACACUGAUGCACGAAAGCGUGGGGAU